UACGUAGGGUGCAAGCGUUGUCCGGAAUUAUUGGGCGUAAAGAGCUCGUAGGCGGUUUGUCGCGUCUGCUGUGAAAACGCGAGGCUCAACUUCGCGCCUGCAGUGGGUACGGGCAGACUAGAGUGCGGUAGGGGAGAUUGGAAUUCCUGGUGUAGCGGUGGAAUGCGCAGAUAUCAGGAGGAACACCGAUGGCGAAGGCAGAUCUCUGGGCCGUAACUGACGCUGAGGAGCGAAAGCGUGGGGAGCGAACAGG
RNAcentral lists this ribosomal RNA (253 nucleotides) under uncultured bacterium. RNAcentral's name for it is "partial 16S ribosomal RNA". It matches the Rfam family "Bacterial small subunit ribosomal RNA", at positions 524 to 776 of the family's 1533-position model. The record is from RNAcentral.